Molecule: long non-coding RNA, 468 nt
Filed under: Ananas comosus (pineapple)
Lineage: Eukaryota; Viridiplantae; Streptophyta; Magnoliopsida; Poales; Bromeliaceae
Description: long non-coding RNA (ACOM_LNC032496)
Source: RNAcentral
UAUGGGUUUUCUCUCUCUCCCUCACAAGUUCUCCCUCCCUCACAUGGACUCACAUGGGCUAUGUUAAAGGAGCAUGUACUAUGGAACAUUUUGUUUUAUGCACCCUGUGUAUCAUGUUAAACAAUAAUGAUUUUAAAGACAAGCUCAAUUAAAAUCAACCAGAAGAACGUCAUCUUAAUUUUACAGUUCUGAACAUUUUCUUUGUCGCCGAAAGGUCUACGAACUAAAAUCUUUAUCAGAUUGCUGUUAUUUUUCGUCCUCACUUUUGGAGUGUCAGAAUAACACGAAACUUUAAAUCUAGCCUAAGAAAAAUAAUUCCGGCAUAUAUUCAAAGUUUAAUAUUUUUAUUACACUGUGUAUCUCCUAAAAAAAAAAAACUAUAUUCCUUACAGAAAAUUCUAAAUCUCUUGUUUUUAUUCCAAUUUCACCAUGAAUUAUUUGUAAAUUGUCUUUUAAUUUUUUAAGUCC